This 856-nucleotide long non-coding RNA is filed under the name Marmota monax (woodchuck). The record is from RNAcentral. Lineage: Eukaryota; Metazoa; Chordata; Mammalia; Rodentia; Sciuridae.
GAUGAAAGUUAACAUCACUGUCGUAGGCCAUCACAGAUCCCCUGACAAAGUCAAGAAGAACAUUUUUAACCUCUGGGUUAUUUUUUCAAAAAAUCCCAAUCCCAACCUAAUUAUGAGAAAAACAUCACACAAACCCAAAUUGAAUGAAAUUCUGUGAAGAACUUAAGUAGUACUUCCCAAAAUUGUCAUGAAAAACAUGGAAAGUCCACUGGCUACAUCUGAGAUUCAGUUAAUAGUAAUGUGUUCAUCUCAGGUUCAUAGAUGUGACACAUGCAUCCAUAGUAAUGAAAGAUAUUAAUGACAGGGGAAAUUGGGUAGGGGAUAAGUAGGAGCUCUCUCUAUAUAUAAAAUAUGUAUUUUUUAUUCUAAAAUGAAAGUUUAUUUACAAAAAUGGAGAUGUAAAGACCCCCUUCUGCUGAUCCCAAAUAACUCUUUUUGUCAUCAUUUAUGUCAGGGAAGAGCAAUUUAUAAGGUAUCUUCAUACAAAGCCCAGCUGCAUAUUCUUCACCCUUAAUACCAUACUGAACCACAGAGUAAAACCUGCAGAAGGAACUGAAACUAUACUCUGGUUGCAGAUUCAGAAAGGCCAGAAUUACCAGGAGAAUCCUUUCAUCCAUCCAUCUACUCAUUCAAUUAUAUUGACUAUCUACUUCAUACCAGGCACUGUGUGAAAUGCUGUAGAGAAAACAAACAAACAAAAAGUCCUUCCAUCUGAAGGUCACAGCCUAGUAAAGAAGAUUAACAAGUACCCAGAACAUACUUGGCAAUAGGAUAGUGUUCUGAUGCUGUAUUAUAGAGCAUAAAGAAGCAAAACUGAAAUGGGAAUAUCUUGUGUUAGUCAACUUUUUGUUUCUAU